This 33-nucleotide ribosomal RNA is filed under the name uncultured Cadophora. RNAcentral's name for it is "partial 28S ribosomal RNA". The record is from RNAcentral. Lineage: Eukaryota; Fungi; Ascomycota; Leotiomycetes; Helotiales.
UUGACCUCGGAUCAGGUAGGAUCCCAAACUUUU